Cyprinodon tularosa is the source of this 240-nucleotide long non-coding RNA. RefSeq lists it as uncharacterized. NCBI's taxonomy places the organism in Eukaryota, Metazoa, Chordata, Actinopteri, Cyprinodontiformes, Cyprinodontidae. The transcript has 3 exons. The record is from RefSeq and is a predicted model, not a curated record.
UAUGGGACCAGAUGCAAGAUUCAGAGAAAGAUAUUUGAAAGAAAGUAAAGGUGGCCAUGUUUUGCUGUUUCUGUGGACAAAAUCUAGGAACAAUUCAAGUUUUCUGUUUUUCAUGUGGGAAGAAUGUGCAGAUCUUGGCACAAGCUCAAGACACUGCUUGAGCGUUGCCAGCCAUAUGUAUGGCUCCUCAACAGCCAACCAACGCAUCGAAAGCUGGGGGUCAUAUUUCAGAAAACAAAG